This is a small nuclear RNA of Arvicanthis niloticus (Nile rat), 159 nucleotides long. RefSeq annotates it as U1 spliceosomal RNA. NCBI's taxonomy places the organism in Eukaryota, Metazoa, Chordata, Mammalia, Rodentia, Muridae. The record is from RefSeq and is a predicted model, not a curated record.
AGACUUACCUGCCAGGGGAAGUACCACCAUUACAAAGUUGGUUUUGCCAGAGUGAGGCUUAUCCAUUGCACACCAGGUGUGCUGACCCCUGGGAUUUCCCCAAAUGUGGGAAUCUGCAUAGUUUUGUGGUAAUGGGUAAUGCAUUUGUGCUCUCCCCUG